GUAGGUGGCAAGCGUUGUCCGGAAUUAUUGGGCGUAAAGCGCGCGCAGGCGGUUCUUUAAGUCUGAUGUGAAAGCCCACGGCUCAACCGUGGAGGGUCAUUGGAAACUGGAGAACUUGAGUACAGAAGAGGAAAGCGGAAUUCCACGUGUAGCGGUGAAAUGCGUAGAGAUGUGGAGGAACACCAGUGGCGAAGGCGGCUUUCUGGUCUGUAACUGACGCUGAGGCGCGAAAGCGUGGGGAGCAAACAGGAUUAGAUACCCUGGUAGUCCACGCCGUAAACGAUGAGUGCUAAGUGUUAGGGGGUUUCCGCCCCCCUUAGUGCUGCAGUUAACGCAUUAAGCACUCCGCCUGGGGAGUACGGCCGCAAGGCUG
Molecule: ribosomal RNA, 373 nt
Filed under: uncultured organism
Description: partial 16S ribosomal RNA
Rfam family: Bacterial small subunit ribosomal RNA
Source: RNAcentral